CUCCUCGCCCCUCCCCUCCCUCUGCGCCCUGAGUCGCGGGAGGGCUGAGUCAUCGCUCCGGAGCCGCCGGGAGAGCAGGCGAGCAGUGCUUGUGUUCAAGUCACCCUUCCAGUAGCCUAAGGCUGCGUCAGAAUGCCAGCAUCAUUCACCUCACUUCAUCUCAUCACGUAGGUGUUGUGUCAUCUUACAUCAUCACAAAAGAAGGAUAUUUGCUGAGUGACCACCUGAUGCUCGUUGCUGUGUUUGGUGCUGAGUGGUGGGCAGAGUGGGAAACAAGGCACAACCCCUGCCCACAAGGAGCUUACCGUUCACAACGAAUCAACCAUCUGACCAGCUGUCGCUCCAGCCUGCAGCCCGCGAGCAGCUGCACGUUCACAACUUUGACAUCUGCUUGAAAGAACAAGUUUACUGCCUCCACAGGGAGCUGAAGCUCAGGGUGAUGGAGCGGGAUCCACACCAAUUACAGAGCGUGCUACCUGUCAUGUCUUAGCAAGGGCCUCAGAGGGCAGAGACAGCACAGUGGGAGGUGGUGAGGAGGCCCUGACACAGGCCUGCAUGGGGAGGACCUGGAAUAGACAGCCACUAACUGGCCUGGGACAAGCCUUCAACUUGGUACAGAGCCUUGGCCAUCCUGGCUCUAACAAGUGUGGGAUUAACUGUUUUGAGAGCAAUGUAGAAUGUAGCAUUUUGUCCUUUUGUUGAGGC
Long non-coding RNA from Rhinolophus ferrumequinum (greater horseshoe bat), 705 nucleotides. RefSeq lists it as uncharacterized. The record is from RefSeq and is a predicted model, not a curated record. NCBI's taxonomy places the organism in Eukaryota, Metazoa, Chordata, Mammalia, Chiroptera, Rhinolophidae. The transcript is spliced from 4 exons.